This is a long non-coding RNA of Maniola jurtina (meadow brown), 79 nucleotides long. RefSeq lists it as uncharacterized. The transcript has 2 exons. The record is from RefSeq and is a predicted model, not a curated record. NCBI's taxonomy places the organism in Eukaryota, Metazoa, Arthropoda, Insecta, Lepidoptera, Nymphalidae.
UCCACCGUAGCGUCUAAAUUACUGGGCCGAUUUUAAUGAAUGAGGUGCCAAUUGAUUUAUUGUAAGGGUCCGGGUGACA